UUGCAUAAUUAACUAUGCAUUGGCAAUUCUUGGCACACACAUGAAGUAAUGCUAACUUGCUUGGGCAGCGGGAUGAACAGAAGUGUUUCAUUUUCAACGUAGAGGAGGAGCCAGACAACUGAACUAACUGCAGCUGGCAACUGGUCCUAAAUUCAUCAUGACUCCUUCCACCAUCGCCACUGAAAGGGGCCACCUCUAAAGUUUUUUGGCCAGCCCAUUUGUGUCCUCAAACUUUUUAUUUAAAAAAAAAUCAGAAACGUAUUGCCAGCAAAGAUCACCUAGAAGGAAGGAAGACAUUGGGAGGGGAAAAAUGGUUCCACUAUAGCUUAUGAAGAAAUUUAGAUCUAUCACACAUAGAGAGAAUCCCACAUUGCAAGAAACAAACUGAGAAGCUGAAGGGAAGAAAAAGAGGAAUGGCUUUAUAUCUUGCUGUAUAAGUUUAUCACAAUUUGUUUGCCAUUUUCAUCACCACCAGCUUAUUCUAUAAAUCCGCCCCUCUGCUCCAUGCUUUCUGUGACCUGGAACAAGUAGACUAGUUCACAUUCCUCUUCUGUAAGUUCACAUCAUUAGAUCCUUUCACAUCUUGUACAAGCAGCUCUGCUCCAGGAUUACUCAUUGCACCGUUAUAUCAUGAGACCUGUCCACCAUCCUUUCAUCGUUCUCUUCCGUACUCUCAGUUCUAUGUUCAUUAGCUACUUUUUCAUCCUCACUUCUAUCAGACCCCACCCAUUUGCCUCUCUGCCUUUAAGGCACCACUAACUAUAAUAUGUGAGCACUAGUCUUUAAGGCUUCUUAAUCCUCCCUUAACCACUUCAGACACUACAAAUUUACUGUG
Mauremys reevesii (Reeves's turtle) is the source of this 835-nucleotide long non-coding RNA. RefSeq lists it as uncharacterized. The record is from RefSeq and is a predicted model, not a curated record. The transcript is spliced from 3 exons. Lineage: Eukaryota; Metazoa; Chordata; Testudines; Geoemydidae.